RNAcentral lists this ribosomal RNA (342 nucleotides) under uncultured bacterium. Its description in RNAcentral is "bacterial SSU rRNA". It matches the Rfam family "Bacterial small subunit ribosomal RNA", at positions 1 to 334 of the family's 1533-position model. The record is from RNAcentral.
AGUAGACGUUCAGAGUUUGAUCCUGGCUCAGGAUGAACGCUAGCUACAGGCUUAACACAUGCAAGUCGAGGGCAGCAUGAACAAGCUUGCUUUGUUGAUGGCGACCGGCGCACGGGUGCGUAACACGUAUCCAAUCUGCCCGUUACUCGGGGAUAGCCUUCUGAAAGGAAGAUUAAUACCCGAUGGCAUUCAUUAGCGGCAUCGCUUAUGAAUUAAAGAUUUAUCGGUGACGGAUGAGGAUGCGUACGAUUAGCUAGUUGGCGGGGUAACGGCCACCAAGGCGACGAUCGUUAGGGGUUCUGAGAGGAAGGUCCCCCACACUGGAACUGAGACACGGUCCAG